This 253-nucleotide ribosomal RNA is filed under the name uncultured bacterium. RNAcentral describes it as "partial 16S ribosomal RNA". It matches the Rfam family "Bacterial small subunit ribosomal RNA", at positions 524 to 776 of the family's 1533-position model. The record is from RNAcentral.
UACAUGGGGUGCAAACGUUGCUCGGAAUCAUUGGGCGUAAAGCGCGCGUAGGCGGUUGCUUAAGUCGGAUGUGAAAGCCCUCGGCUUAACUGAGGAAGUGCAUCCGAAACUGAGCAGCUAGAGUACGAAAGAGGGUCGCGGAAUUCCCGGUGUAGAGGUGAAAUUCGUAGAUAUCAGGAGGAACACCAAUGGCGAAGGCAGCACUCUGGGACGUGACUGACGCUGAGACGCGAAAGCGUGGGGAGCAAACAGG